UGAGUAACCUGCCCUUAACUCUGGGAUAAGCCUGGGAAACUGGGUCUAAUACCGGAUAUGACUCCUCAUCGCAUGGGUGGGGGGUGGAAAGCUUUUUGUGGUUUUGGAUGGACUCGCGGCCUAUCAGCUUGUUGGUGAGGUAACGGCCCACCAAGGCGACGACGGGUAGCUGGUCUGAGAGGAUGGCCCAGCCACAUUGGGACUGAGACACGGCCCAGACCUCCGUACGGGGAGCAG
This 237-nucleotide ribosomal RNA is filed under the name uncultured bacterium. RNAcentral describes it as "partial 16S ribosomal RNA". It matches the Rfam family "Bacterial small subunit ribosomal RNA", at positions 118 to 351 of the family's 1533-position model. The record is from RNAcentral.